GGAUAACUUCGGGAAACCGUAGCUAAUACCGGAUAAUAUUUUGAACCGCAUGGUUCAAAAGUGAAAGACGGUCUUGCUGUCACUUAUAGAUGGAUCCGCGCUGCAUUAGCUAGUUGGUAAGGUAACGGCUUACCAAGGCAACGAUGCAUAGCCGACCUGAGAGGGUGAUCGGCCACACUGGAACUGAGACACGGUCCAGACUCCUACGGGAGGCAGCAGUAGGGAAUCUUCCGCAAUGGGCGAAAGCCUGACGGAGCAACGCCGCGUGAGUGAUGAAGGUCUUCGGAUCGUAAAACUCUGUUAUUAGGGAAGAACAUAUGUGUAAGUAACUGUGCACAUCUUGACGGUACCUAAUCAGAAAGCCACGGCUAACUACGUGCCAGCAGCCGCGGUAAUACGUAGGUGGCAAGCGUUAUCCGGAAUUAUUGGGCGUAAAGCGCGCGUAGGCGGUUUUUUAAGUCUGAUGUGAAAGCCCACGGCUCAACCGUGGAGGGUCAUUGGAAACUGGAAAACUUGAGUGCAGAAGAGGAAAGUGGAAUUCCAUGUGUAGCGGUGAAAUGCGCAGAGAUAUGGAGGAACACCAGUGGCGAAGGCGACUUUCUGGUCUGUAACUGACGCUGAUGUGCGAAAGCGUGGGGAUCAAACAGGAUUAGAUACCCUGGUAGUCCACGCCGUAAACGAUGAGUGCUAAGUGUUAGGGGGUUUCCGCCCCUUAGUGCUGCAGCUAACGCAUUAAGCACUCCGCCUGGGGAGUACGACCGCAAGGUUGAAACUCAAAGGAAUUGACGGGGACCCGCACAAGCGGUGGAGCAUGUGGUUUAAUUCGAAGCAACGCGAAGAACCUUACCAAAUCUUGACAUCCUUUGACAACUCUAGAGAUAGAGCCUUCCCCUUCGGGGGACAAAGUGACAGGUGGUGCAUGGUUGUCGUCAGCUCGUGUCGUGAGAUGUUGGGUUAAGUCCCGCAACGAGCGCAACCCUUAAGCUUAGUUGCCAUCAUUAAGUUGGGCACUCUAAGUUGACUGCCGGUGACAAACCGGAGGAAGGUGGGGAUGACGUCAAAUCAUCAUGCCCCUUAUGAUUUGGGCUACACACGUGCUACAAUGGACAAUACAAAGGGCAGCGAAACCGCGAGGUCAAGCAAAUCCCAUAAAGUUGUUCUCAGUUCGGAUUGUAGUCUGCAACUCGACUACAUGAAGCUGGAAUCGCUAGUAAUCGUAGAUCAGCAUGCUACGGUGAAUACGUUCCCGGGUCUUGUACACACCGCCCGUCACACCACGAGAGUUUGUAACACCCGAAGCCGGUGGAGUAACCUUUUAGGAGCUAGCCGUCGAAGGUGGGACAAAUGAUUGGGGUGAAGUCGUAACAAGGUAGCCGUAUCGGAAGGUGCGGCUGGAUCACCUCCUUU
Molecule: ribosomal RNA, 1407 nt
Filed under: Staphylococcus aureus
Lineage: Bacteria; Bacillati; Bacillota; Bacilli; Caryophanales; Staphylococcaceae
Description: bacterial SSU rRNA
Rfam family: Bacterial small subunit ribosomal RNA
Source: RNAcentral